AUUGCCCCCCUCAAAUUUUCAAUUCAAACCUUCCACCCCUUUCGAAAUUUCUAUUCAACCUCCCCUUCAAAAUUUCAAUCAACCCCAAAUUCGUCCCCCUACUUCAAAAUUUAAAUUCAACCCCCCCCCCCCCCCAACUUCAAAUUUUCAAUUCAUCCUCCACCCAUUUCAAAAUUUAAAUUUAACCAACCCUCUACUUCAAAUUUUUCAUUCAACCCCCUCUCAAAAUUUCAAUUCAACCACCCACUUCAAAUUUCAAUUCAAUACACAUUCAAAUUUUCCAUUUCACAAGCAAAAAUCUAUUCCUAAACAAAAUCCUAAAACAACUUUUUUAAAAAAACUAAAUAAACCUAAAAAUUAAGGAUUUUAAAACUUACCUCAAUGUGCAACAGUAGCAAACGACGGGAGAGGGACGACGGCGAGAGAACUGGAGGAAUUCGACGGGGAAUUCCCGACGCAGCAUGAAAACGUCAAGAGAUCUCCUUUCUCCCGACACCAUUUCCUACGGAUAACUAAUGGCGUCGAAAAUUUUACAUUACUCCUGACGCACCAAAGUAGCGUCGGUAGAGAACCUUACUCCCGACUCAUUUUUCGACGCCAUGCAGCAUGCGUCGGGAAUAUAUGUCUGACAAAAUUAAUGUUAUGUAAUUUUCGAAGAUUCGUUCCCGACACAUACAUGCCACAUCGGGAUAACAUGUUAUUCCCUACGUUGUUUUCGACGUCUAUGUCACAGCGUCGGAAAAAGUUGUCUAUCCCAACGUGUGAAAGCGUGCGUCGGAAUAUUGUUCAUUCCCAACGAAUUUGUUGCCGACGCCUUUCUUUGCAUUUGAAGAACACCGAUAUUAUGACAUUUUGGUUGGUAUAGUUAGUUGACAAUGUUAACCGACUAUAUUAAAGUUUAGGAUAGAAAGUGUUUUACAAAAUUUUUAAAAAAUAACAAAUAAAUUAUGUAACUAAGUUCCCCUAAGAGGAAAGUCAAACAGGGGACAAUCGUCUCCUUAGAUUUUUAAA
Cucumis melo (muskmelon) is the source of this 1011-nucleotide long non-coding RNA. RefSeq lists it as uncharacterized. The record is from RefSeq and is a predicted model, not a curated record. Lineage: Eukaryota; Viridiplantae; Streptophyta; Magnoliopsida; Cucurbitales; Cucurbitaceae. The transcript has 2 exons.